Molecule: long non-coding RNA, 887 nt
Filed under: Gadus morhua (Atlantic cod)
Lineage: Eukaryota; Metazoa; Chordata; Actinopteri; Gadiformes; Gadidae
Description: lncRNA (ENSGMOG00000031259.1)
Source: RNAcentral
AUGGAUAAAGGUCAUAAACCGAAGAAAAGCUCGUCAAAAGGCGUGAGAGAUGCAAAGGCAUACAGGGAAGGACUUGGACCGGGCGAAAAAGCACGAUAUUUGAGGAAGUUAGAUUUGAUUGGUGGUGCAGAUCCCUACGAGUUGGCUCCCUCGUCUUGGAUCAAUGACGACCCGGAGAGUCUUCCGUCUGUUUGUUAUCCUGACAUCGUCAACUACCUGGUUUUCUCGCCAAGCCCAUACACAGCGGAAGACCUUAAAGCGUACAAAAGUUUGGAGGCCUAUAACCAGAUGGUGUGUGGAUGGGUGAGGGAGAUUCAAUACCAAGUCAUCGACGACAGAUGUGUUGCGAAGGCCAAAGUUCUCCAUUCUCAAUCAAUCCGAGAAACACCCCUGGAACCCUGGAUAAUCGCUGAGAAGUCUGGUCGGAUACUUGGAGCCCACUGCACGUGUAUGGCUGGCCUCGGAGAGACGUGCACACAUGUUGCUGCAUUAUUGUUUCUCAUAGAAGAAACAGUGAAGUUGAGGGACUCAAAGACAGUGACGCAAGAGAAGGCGUAUUGGCUGUUACCUACUGCACUGUCUAAGGUGGAAUACAGGGAAUGCCGGAAGAUUGACUUCACUGUAACCAAGAGGUCUCAAGUAAAAGAGCUGGCAGGAUGAAAUGUGCUGCUCUUGGACAGCCACUUGAGGACCCAAGUCAUACUUCCACUUCUUCUACUGUUACAGUUGGGAUACCGCAACAGCCAACCAGUGAUGAACUGUCAUCAUUAUUCAGUGCUCUUAGCGCGACAGGAUCAAAGCUAUUUUGUUCCUGAUUGAGCCUUACUCUGACAGUUUUGUUCCAAAAUCAAUUGGAGAAAAUUUACCUCUUGUGUUGACGGAAUUGC